RNAcentral lists this ribosomal RNA (230 nucleotides) under uncultured bacterium. Its description in RNAcentral is "partial 16S ribosomal RNA". It matches the Rfam family "Bacterial small subunit ribosomal RNA", at positions 568 to 796 of the family's 1533-position model. The record is from RNAcentral.
UGCGCAGGCGGAACUAUAAGUCAGUGGUGAAAUCCCCCGGCUCAACCGGGGGAACUGCCAUUGAUACUGUAGUUCUAGAGUACAGUUGGGGUAGGCGGAAUGUGUCAUGUAGCGGUGAAAUGCUUAGAUAUAACACAGAACACCGAUCGCGAAGGCAGCUUACCAAGCUAUUACUGACGCUGAGGCACGAAAGCGUGGGGAGCAAACAGGAUUAGAUACCCUGGUAGUCC